CAGUAGCCGCGGGAAUACGGAGGGAGCUAGCGUUGUUCGGAAUUACUGGGCGUAAAGCGCGCGUAGGCGGUUACUCAAGUCAGAGGUGAAAGCCCGGGGCUCAACCCCGGAACUGCCUUUGAAACUAGGUGACUAGAAUCCUGGAGAGGUCAGUGGAAUUCCGAGUGUAGAGGUGAAAUUCGUAGAUAUUCGGAAGAACACCAGUGGCGAAGGCGACUGACUGGACAAGUAUUGACGCUGAGGUGCGAAAGCGUGGGGAGCAAACAGGAUUAGAUACCCGGGUAGUCCCUGUCUCUUAUAA
Molecule: ribosomal RNA, 301 nt
Filed under: uncultured bacterium
Lineage: Bacteria
Description: partial 16S ribosomal RNA
Rfam family: Bacterial small subunit ribosomal RNA
Source: RNAcentral